Molecule: ribosomal RNA, 494 nt
Filed under: uncultured bacterium
Lineage: Bacteria
Description: partial 16S ribosomal RNA
Rfam family: Bacterial small subunit ribosomal RNA
Source: RNAcentral
GACGAACGCUGGCGGCGUGCUUAACACAUGCAAGUCGAACGGAAAGGCCUGCUUUCCCUUGUGGAUUGCGGGUACUCGAGUGGCGAACGGGUGAGUAACACGUGAGUGAUCUGCCCCCAACUUGGGUAUAAGCCUGGGAAACUGGGUCUAAUUCCCGAUAGGACUGCAGGGUGGUGCCUGUGGUGGAAAACGAUUUUCUAGUGGUUGGGGAUGAGCUCGCGGCCUAUCAGCUUGUUGGUGGGGUAAUGGCCUACCAAGGCGGCGACGGGUAGCCGGCCUGAGAGGGUGGACGGCCACAUUGGGACUGAGAUACGGCCCAGACUCCUACGGGAGGCAGCAGUGGGGAAUAUUGCACAAUGGGCGGAAGCCUGAUGCAGCGACGCCGCGUGGGGGAUGACGGCCUUCGGGUUGUAAACUCCUUUCGACCGCGAGGAAGCCACCUGGUUGGAAGGGUGGUGACGGUAGUGGUAGAAGGAGCACCGGCUAACUACGUG